UACGGAGGGGGCGAGCGUUAUUCGGAAUUAUUGGGCGUAAAGGGCGCGUAGGCGGCUGGGCAAGUCAAAGGUGAAAUCCCUCGGCUCAACUGAGGAACUGCCUUUGAAACUGCCUGGCUUGAGGCCGGGAGGGGGUAGCGGAAUUCCCAGUGUAGCGGUGAAAUGCGUAGAUAUUGGGAGGAACACCAGUGGCGAAGGCGGCUGCCUGGACCGGUUCUGACGCUGAUGCGCGAAAGCGUGGGUAGCAAACAGG
Molecule: ribosomal RNA, 253 nt
Filed under: uncultured bacterium
Lineage: Bacteria
Description: partial 16S ribosomal RNA
Rfam family: Bacterial small subunit ribosomal RNA
Source: RNAcentral